This 253-nucleotide ribosomal RNA is filed under the name uncultured bacterium. Its description in RNAcentral is "partial 16S ribosomal RNA". It matches the Rfam family "Bacterial small subunit ribosomal RNA", at positions 524 to 776 of the family's 1533-position model. The record is from RNAcentral.
UACAGAGGCCUCGAGCGUUAGGCGGAAUCACUGGGCUUAAAGCGUGUGUAGGCGGAUCGUUAAGUACCUUGUGAAAUCCCACGGCUUAACCGUGGAACUGCUUGGUAUACUGGCGAUCUUGUGCCACCUAGGGGCGAGCGGAACAGAUGGUGGAGCGGUGAAAUGCGUAGAUAUCAUUUGGAACGCCAAUGGUGAAAACAGGUAACUGGGAGUGUGCUGACGCUGAGACACGAAAGCCAGGGGAGCAAACGGG